Molecule: ribosomal RNA, 469 nt
Filed under: uncultured bacterium
Lineage: Bacteria
Description: partial 16S ribosomal RNA
Rfam family: Bacterial small subunit ribosomal RNA
Source: RNAcentral
GACGAACGCUGGCGGCGUGCUUAACACAUGCAAGUCGAACGGAAAGGCCCUGCUUGCAGGGUGCUCGAGUGGCGAACGGGUGAGUAACCCGUGGGUGAUCUGCCCCUUACUUUGGGAUAAGCCUGGGAAACUGGGUCUAAUACUGGAUAGGACCAUGCUGUAGGCGGUGUGGUGGAAAGAUUAGUUUCGGUAAGGGAUGAGCUCGCGGCCUAUCAGCUUGUUGGUGGGGUAAUGGCCUACCAAGGCGUCGACGGGUAGCCGGCCUGAGAGGGUGGACGGCCACAUUGGGACUGAGAUACGGCCCAGACUCCUACGGGAGGCAGCAGUGGGGAAUAUUGGACAAUGGGAGCAAGCCUGAUGCAGCGACGCCGCGUGGGGGAUGACGGCCUUCGGGUUGUAAACUCCUUUCAGCCAUGACGAAGCCCUUGUGGUGACGGUAGUGGUAGAAGAAGCACCGGCUAACUACGUG